Molecule: long non-coding RNA, 550 nt
Filed under: Ananas comosus (pineapple)
Lineage: Eukaryota; Viridiplantae; Streptophyta; Magnoliopsida; Poales; Bromeliaceae
Description: long non-coding RNA (ACOM_LNC021970)
Source: RNAcentral
UAGGGGGUUAUGUGUUUGCAUCUUUUAUAUGAGUAGAACUAGUGUGCUAUUAGGAGCACGGAGGUCUCCGUACUUUUAAGCUGUUUUUGAUGAUGGAACUUUCGAAUCGACGAUCGGCUCCGUUAGACUUGAUUUAGUGUACGUAUUUGAACUAGAUGAAAUAUAAAUUUUACGAUUUUUCGAUAUCAUUUAUCUAGUAAUCGAAAGGAUUCAAAAUCAACAGUUGAAAAUUAAAAUCUCACAAAAAAUUAUGACGUAGUACUAAAAUUUUCGAUCACAGAUAUUGAUCUUAUUGUAGAUAUUAUAAAAAAAAUUUUCUAUCAAAAAUUUAUCUGGUUUAGAUGCUUCUACACCGUUAAACUUGUAAACGGUAUAUAUCAGCCAUUAAAAAUUAUUGAUUUUAAAUUCUUUUGAUUAUUAAGUAAAUGAUAUCGAAAAUUAGCAAAAAAUUAUUUUUUAAAUAUUUUAAAUACGCUAAAUCAAAUCUAAUAAAAUCAAACGUAGUUUCAAAAGUUUCAUCAUCAAAAGUGAUUUAGAAGCAUUGAACAUU